AGUCGAACGGUAGAGGGGGCAACCCCUUGAGAGUGGCGAACGGGUGAGUAAUAUAUCGGAACGUGCCCAGUCGUGGGGGAUAACGUAGUGAAAAUUACGCUAAUACCGCAUACGAUCUACGGAUGAAAGCGGGGGAUCGCAAGACCUCGCGCGACUGGAGCGGCCGAUAUCAGAUUAGGUAGUUGGUAGGGUAAAGGCCUACCAAGCCAACGAUCUGUAGCUGGUCUGAGAGGACGACCAGCCACACUGGAACUGAGACACGGUCCAGACUCCUACGGGAGGCAGCAGUGGGGAAUUUUGGACAAUGGGCGAAAGCCUGAUCCAGCCAUUCCGCGUGCAGGAUGAAGGCCCUCGGGUUGUAAACUGCUUUUGUACAGAACGAAAAGGUCUCUAUUAAUACUAGGGGCUCAUGACGGUACUGUAAGAAUAAGCACCGGCUAACUACGUGCCAGCAGCCGCGGUAAUACGUAGGGUGCAAGCGUUAAUCGGAAUUACUGGGCGUAAAGCGUGCGCAGGCGGUUAUAUAAGUCAGAUGUGAAAUCCCCGGGCUCAACCUGGGAACUGCAUUUGAGACUGUAUAGCUAGAGUACGGUAGAGGGGGAUGGAAUUCCGCGUGUAGCAGUGAAAUGCGUAGAUAUGCGGAGGAACACCGAUGGCGAAGGCAAUCCCCUGGACCUGUACUGACGCUCAUGCACGAAAGCGUGGGGAGCAAACAGGAUUAGAUACCCUGGUAGUCCACGCCCUAAACGAUGUCAACUGGUUGUUGGUCUUAACUGACUCAGUAACGAAGCUACGCGUGAGUUGACCGCCUGGGGNGUACG
Molecule: ribosomal RNA, 821 nt
Filed under: uncultured bacterium
Lineage: Bacteria
Description: bacterial SSU rRNA
Rfam family: Bacterial small subunit ribosomal RNA
Source: RNAcentral